Molecule: unclassified non-coding RNA, 262 nt
Filed under: rhizosphere metagenome
Description: partial ribosomal RNA internal transcribed spacer region
Source: RNAcentral
GUAGGUGAACCUGCGGAAGGAUCAUUAGUCUAUGUGUGGCCCGUGAGGGCUUACACGUCGGGUCUCGUCUUUUUGUCGCCGAGGCCGCAAAUUGGUGGGGUGUCUGAAAACCCUUGAAUAUAAAACUUAGUUGCUUUGGCGGGCCGCCCUUGGGCGUCGGCCCCAGCUGACAGUGCCCGCCAGAGGCCCAAAACUCUAUUGUCUCUGACGUCUGAGUACUAUAUAAUAGUUAAAACUUUCAACAACGGAUCUCUUGGUUCUG